CUUGUAAAAAAAAAAUCAAUUGACCGUAAAUGUGUGUGUAUAUGGGAGAAAAGCACUUAUUUCUGGAAUCUCCAUUUUGUUCCAUCAAUUAAAUUCUAUUCCCAAGUCAGCACCACAUUGUCUUGAUUACUGUAGCUUUAUAUUAAGUCUCUAAAUCCAGUAGCAUGUUCUCCAACUUUUUGCUUUAAAAAAAAAUGGUUUUAGCUAUUCUAAGUACUUUGCAUUUCCAUAUAAACUUUAGAACCAUCUUAUCCAUUUUUAUAAAAAGGAUAGCUGAAUUUGGAUUGGAAUUGUGAUGGAUCUAUAUAUCAAUUUAA
This 317-nucleotide long non-coding RNA is filed under the name Pan troglodytes (chimpanzee). RNAcentral describes it as "long non-coding RNA NONPTRT012624". The record is from RNAcentral. Lineage: Eukaryota; Metazoa; Chordata; Mammalia; Primates; Hominidae.